Small nuclear RNA from Bombina bombina (fire-bellied toad), 189 nucleotides. RefSeq annotates it as U2 spliceosomal RNA. The record is from RefSeq and is a predicted model, not a curated record. Lineage: Eukaryota; Metazoa; Chordata; Amphibia; Anura; Bombinatoridae. The transcript has a single exon.
AGUGCUUUUUGGUUUUUGACUAAGAUCGAGUGCAGUAUCUGCUUUUAUCAGUUUAAUAUCUGAUAUGUCCCUUAUCAGAGGACUUUGUAUUAUGGGAUAUUUGGUGUGUGGACCUGGUGAAGAGUCCUCUCCUUCAUGGAGAUUUCCGCCAAGGCGGGACUUUUUACUUCAGGGUUCUUUUCUACUUCC